GAUGAACGCUAGCUACAGGCUUAACACAUGCAAGUCGAGGGACCGGCGCACGGGUGAGUAACGCGUAUCCAACCUACCCAUUACUGUGGGAUAACCUGCCGAAAGGCAGACUAAUACCGCAUAGUAAUGGAUGGGGAUGCGUCUGAUUAGCUUGUUGGCGGGGUAACGGCCCACCAAGGCGACGAUCAGUAUGAGUUCUGAGAGGAAGGACCCCCACAUUGGAACUGAGACACGUGCCAAACGCAUACGGGAAGGAGGAGGGAGGAGUAGUGGUAGAUGGGCGCGAGCCUGAACCAGCCAAGUAGCGUACAGGAUGACGGCCUAUGAGUUGUAAGCUGCUUUUGUAUGGGGAUAGGUACCGUACGAAUAAGGACGGGCUAAUUCCGUGCCAGCCGCCGCGGUAAUAC
This 407-nucleotide ribosomal RNA is filed under the name uncultured bacterium. Its description in RNAcentral is "partial 16S ribosomal RNA". It matches the Rfam family "Bacterial small subunit ribosomal RNA", at positions 28 to 526 of the family's 1533-position model. The record is from RNAcentral.